UUCCGGUUGAUCCUGCCGGACCCCACUGCUAUCGGGAUAGGACUAAGACAUGCUAGUCGCGUGCUUCAGCCAAAACGAAGCACGGCACACAGCUCAGUAACACGUGGCUAAUCUGCCCUUGGGAUAGGAAUACCCCCGGGAAACCGGGGCUAAUUCCCAAUAGGUGAAGAACUCUGGAAUGAGUCUCCACUAGAAAAGAGCCUACGUUAUGCUCGUAAGUUUCGCCCAAGGAUGAGGCCGCGACCGAUCAGGUUGUUGGCGAGGUAAUGGCUCACCAAGCCUUUUACCGGUGCGGGCCGUGGGAGCGGGAGCCCGGAGAUGGGUACUGAGACAAGGACCCAGGCCCUACGGGGCGCAGCAGUCGCGAAAACUUUGCAAUAAGCGCAAGCUUGACAGGGCUAUCCCGAGUGCCAUCCGCUGAGGAAGGCUUUUACCCAGUCUAGAACGCUGGGGGAAUAAGGAGAGGGCAAGUCUGGUGUCAGCCGCCGCGGUAAUACCAGC
RNAcentral lists this ribosomal RNA (501 nucleotides) under uncultured crenarchaeote. RNAcentral's name for it is "bacterial SSU rRNA". It matches the Rfam family "Archaeal small subunit ribosomal RNA", at positions 1 to 480 of the family's 1478-position model. The record is from RNAcentral. Lineage: Archaea; Thermoproteati; Thermoproteota.